UACGUAGGGUGCGAGCGUUAAUCGGAAUUACUGGGCGUAAAGCGUGCGCAGGCGGCUUUUUAAGCCAGAUGUGAAAUCCCCGGGCUUAACCUGGGAACUGCAUUUGGAACUGGAAGGCUAGAGUGCGGCAGAGGGGGGUAGAAUUCCACGUGUAGCAGUGAAAUGCGUAGAGAUGUGGAGGAACACCGAUGGCGAAGGCAGCCCCUGGGUCGACACUGACGCUCAUGCACGAAAGCGUGGGGAGCAAACAGGAUUAGAAACCCGGGUAGU
This 270-nucleotide ribosomal RNA is filed under the name uncultured bacterium. Its description in RNAcentral is "partial 16S ribosomal RNA". It matches the Rfam family "Bacterial small subunit ribosomal RNA", at positions 524 to 794 of the family's 1533-position model. The record is from RNAcentral.